UAGCUUGCUAUUGUGCGUGGCGACCGGCGCACGGGUGAGUAACGCGUAUCCAACCUACCCCGCGGUCAGGGACAGCCCGGCGAAAGUCGGAUUAAUACCUGAUGCAGUCAGAAGAGGGCAUCUGAUUUUGACGAAAGAUUCAUCGCCUCGGGAUGGGGAUGCGUAGGAUUAGGCAGGCGGCGGGGUAACGGCCCGCCGCGCCGACGAUCCUUAGGGGUUCUGAGAGGAAGGUCCCCCACACUGGUACUGAGACACGGACCAGACUCCUACGGGAGGCAGCAGUGAGGAAUAUUGGUCAAUGGGCGCGAGCCUGAACCAGCCAAGUAGCCGUGCAGGAGGACGGCCCUAUGGGUUGUAAACUGCUUUUAUGCGGGGAUAAAGUGCGGCACGUGUGCCGUUUUGUAGGUACCGCAUGAAUAAGGACCGGCUAAUUCCGUGCCAGCCGCCGC
RNAcentral lists this ribosomal RNA (449 nucleotides) under uncultured bacterium. RNAcentral describes it as "bacterial SSU rRNA". It matches the Rfam family "Bacterial small subunit ribosomal RNA", at positions 76 to 518 of the family's 1533-position model. The record is from RNAcentral.